RNAcentral lists this ribosomal RNA (541 nucleotides) under uncultured bacterium. RNAcentral describes it as "bacterial SSU rRNA". It matches the Rfam family "Bacterial small subunit ribosomal RNA", at positions 355 to 896 of the family's 1533-position model. The record is from RNAcentral.
UAGGGAAUAUUGGGCAAUGGGCGGGAGCCUGACCCAGCCAUGCCGCGUGCAGGAAGAAGGCGUUAUGCGUUGUAAACUGCUUUUAUACGGGAAGAAAAGGCCCAUGCGUGGGACAUUGCCGGUACCGUAUGAAUAAGCACCGGCUAACUCCGUGCCAGCAGCCGCGGUAAUACGGAGGGUGCAAGCGUUGUCCGGAUUUAUUGGGUUUAAAGGGUGCGUAGGCGGCCGAUUAAGUCAGCGGUGAAAGUCUGUGGCUCAACCAUAGAAGCGCCGUUGAUACUGGUUGGCUUGAGUGCCGUAUGGGUACAUGGAAUUGAUGGUGUAGCGGUGAAAUGCAUAGAUACCAUCAGGAACACCGAUAGCGUAGGCAUUGUACUGUGCGGCAACUGACGCUGAGGCACGAAAGCAUGGGUAGCGAACAGGAUUAGAUACCCUGGUAGUCCAUGCCGUAAACGAUGAUCACUCGCUGUUAUGUCCUUGAGGCGUAGCGGCCAAGCGAAAGCGUUAAGUGAUCCACCUGGGGAGUACGCCGGCAACGGUG